GUCGAACGAUGAAACUUAAAGGAUUUCUUCGGAAAUGAAUUUAAGCGGAUUAGUGGCGGACGGGUGAGUAACGCGUGAGUAACCUGCCUUACACAAGGGGAUAGCCUCUGGAAACGGAGAAUAAUACCCUAUAAAACCAUCAAAUCGCAUGAAGUGAUGGUCAAAGUGUUAGCGGUGUAAGAUGGACUUGCGUCUGAUUAGCUAGUUGGUGAGAAAAAAGCCCUCCAAGGCAACGAUCAGUAGCCGGCUUGAGAGAGUGUACGGCCACAUUGGGACUGAGACACGGCCCAGACUCCUACGGGAGGCAGCAGUGGGGAAUUUUGCACAAUGGGGGAAACCCUGAUGCAGCGACGCCGCGUGAUUUAGAAGGCCUUCGGGUUGUAAAAAUCUUUUGUAUAGGAAGAAAAUGACAGUACUAUACGAAUAAGGUCCGGCUAAUUACGUGCCAGCAGCCGCGGUAAUACGUAAGGACCGAGCGUUGUCCGGAAUCAUUGGGCGUAAAGGGUACGUAGGCGGGUUUUUAAGUUAGAAGUCAAAGGCUAUAGCUCAACUAUAGUAAGCUUCUAAAACUGGAAACCUUGAGAGAUGGAAGGGAAAGUGGAAUUCCUAGUGUAGCGGUGGAAUGCGCAGAUAUUAGGAGGAAUACCGGUGGCGAAGGCGACUUUCUGGCCAUUUUC
RNAcentral lists this ribosomal RNA (677 nucleotides) under uncultured Eubacteriales bacterium. RNAcentral's name for it is "bacterial SSU rRNA". It matches the Rfam family "Bacterial small subunit ribosomal RNA", at positions 61 to 740 of the family's 1533-position model. Lineage: Bacteria; Bacillati; Bacillota; Clostridia; Eubacteriales. The record is from RNAcentral.